UACGUAGGGUGCGAGCGUUAAUCGGAAUUACUGGGCGUAAAGCGUGCGCAGGCGGCGCGUUAAGACAGGUGUGAAAGCCCCGAGCUUAACUUGGGAAUUGCGCUUGUGACUGGCGUGCUGGAGUGUGGCAGAGGGAGGUGGAAUUCCACGUGUAGCAGUGAAAUGCGUAGAGAUGUGGAGGAACACCGAUGGCGAAGGCAGCCCCCUGGGUCAAAACUGACGCUCAUGCACGAAAGCGUGGGGAGCAAACAGG
This 253-nucleotide ribosomal RNA is filed under the name uncultured bacterium. RNAcentral's name for it is "partial 16S ribosomal RNA". It matches the Rfam family "Bacterial small subunit ribosomal RNA", at positions 524 to 776 of the family's 1533-position model. The record is from RNAcentral.